UCUCAGGUGGCCUAGUGGUUAGAGCGUCCGCCUCGGAUGCGGAAAGUCGUGGGUUCGAUCCCCAAAGUCUUACAAAA
Non-coding RNA from Potamilus streckersoni, 77 nucleotides. Lineage: Eukaryota; Metazoa; Mollusca; Bivalvia; Unionida; Unionidae. The record is from the annotation of a GenBank genome assembly.